CAUCGCCUCACACCACCGCACCAAAUCCUAACCCUAGAACUACCCCCUCCGCCAGCAUCCUCGGCCAACCUCCGGCGACCCAGACACCAGCCCGCCACGAACCACGAGCAAACUCCAACGAUUGGGGCCGACGCCUCGCCAAAUUACACCGAAUUUGGUCGAACCGGAUUAGGGAUGCUGGAGGGCGGCGGCUGACGCUCGAUCCAGGAGGGACACGCCAGCAAGGUAAGGAGCAAGGGUAAGCGGCGUCCGUACCAGAGCGGUGGCCUGAGGCUGCACGGAUUGGGCGGAUCUGCGCACGGCGGAAACGGUGGUGAGCUGGAGGCCGCUGGCUCGCGAGUAUACUUCGGAAAUGGGGGAGCGGAGGCGAGGGUGAGAGGGAGAGAGAGAGAGAGACUGCUUGGGCCGUGGGAGUUGUAGGUUGCGGCCAAUCUGCUCGAUGUUACCUCUGACAAGUGGCGCAUGGGGCAGGGGCCUUGUUGUCAGCCAGUCAAGUUUUUACUGGGCUUUGCUCCUGUGUGGGCCUUGCAUUUGCUUAACGCAUCUCGUUUUACGGGAUGCUUCUGCGGUCGCUCACCAUGACCGAUGGGGCAGAUAGUUCGGAGUUGUGAAGACGAGUGGAUGCCAUCGCUCUGCCUUGUGGGACAUGGAUCUCCCUUUAUUUCUUUUGCGGGUGGGACAUGAAUCUCCGGUCAGGUUUGUGACCGACUCGACCUGAUCGAACGGCGGUACACUUGGUCCAACGAACAAUCUCCGCCAACGUUGUUGGUCCGUUUGGAUCGUGCAUUCUGCACUAUGGACUGGGAGCUCAAAUUCCGGGCAGCUAAACUCCUCCCCCAGUCUUCUACCAUUUCGGAUCAUUGCCCGCUGCUCCUAGUGAAUGAGGGGAUGUUAAAAAAAUAGAGACGGUUUCAGUUCGAUCCAGGAGGGACACGCCAGCAAGGUAAGGAGCAAGGGUAAGCGGCGUCCGUACCAAAGCGGUGGCCUGAGGCUGCACGGAUUGGGCGGAUCUGCGCACGACGGAAACGGUGGUGAGCUGGAGGCCGCUGGCUCGCGAGUAUACUUCGGAAAUGGGGGAGCGGAGGCGAGG
This 1090-nucleotide long non-coding RNA is filed under the name Triticum aestivum (bread wheat). Its description in RNAcentral is "long non-coding RNA (TAES_LNC004108)". Lineage: Eukaryota; Viridiplantae; Streptophyta; Magnoliopsida; Poales; Poaceae. The record is from RNAcentral.